GCUAGAUAACAAUUGUGCCAUAGCUCACAAAAUAUUAUAGAUUUUUGUUCAUUAUUUGCAAGAAACCGAAUAAAAUUAUAAGCAGACAUGAGGAUCUCUUCAACACUGCAUGCAGUUGUUGCAAUCUUCAUUGGGGUCAUCAUUUGCAUCAAAACAGAAGCAAGCUCCUCGGUGAAUCCAGACCUCGUGGAAGCAAAUAUCGAACCUUUAUCACCGAAGUUCUUCAUGCCACCAUUAUGUGAAUUUCUUUCACCCGAUAUAUUCACACAAACUGACCCGAUCACUUAUCUGCGCCAAAAAUUAUUGAAAUUACCAUACAGAAAGAUGAUGAGCAUGAUUGUGGAUAUGGACCGAGGUUUAACUCAUAAUCUUGAGAUGGAUCGUGUUCCUUCAGCGUACGUUCCCUAUGCUAAAUUCAUAGUAUCGCUAUGGAGUUGUGUUCGUAACCUCGAUCAAGUGAAAGUUUUCAUCGGAAUAAUUAAAAGAGACAUAAACCCUUCUCAACCAUGGCCAGAUACUGCUUCGCUGAAAUCUGAAUUAUCACCUUUAUUCUCGUCGGAUAUUUUCUUAGACAACGACCCGCCAUCAGUGCUUAUCGAUAAAUUAUUAGUCACACCUGAAAUUAGCUUCUCAAGCAUUGCGAAAAGCUUGCAAAGCCCUCAAGACGAUGCUACUCGUCGAUUUGUUCAAUUGUAUCCUUGGUAUUCUGCUCACCUGAGCAUAUUUCUGCAAAAUGAAAUUGCCUUGCAGCAGUUGAAAAAUUUGAAAGGUGAUAUAGCUGAAAUUCAAAAGUUGAGAUCGCCCACUUCUGCGGUUGGCCAUAUUAUAGGUCAGUAGAGGAUUUUUGUCUCGUGGAUAUGACUGCAGCACAACCACAGAUAUGACUCCUUUCAUCCUCGGAAUUCAAGAUAGAAUUGUGAUGUAUCAAUAUUUCAAAAUUUAGUUUUUAAAUUAAUCAUAGCACCUGUGUUGAGAUUCAGAUAACAGAAUUAAAAUAAGUUGACAAA
Planococcus citri (citrus mealybug) is the source of this 1007-nucleotide long non-coding RNA. RefSeq lists it as uncharacterized. Lineage: Eukaryota; Metazoa; Arthropoda; Insecta; Hemiptera; Pseudococcidae. The transcript has 2 exons. The record is from RefSeq and is a predicted model, not a curated record.